Molecule: unclassified non-coding RNA, 264 nt
Filed under: Hevea brasiliensis (rubber tree)
Lineage: Eukaryota; Viridiplantae; Streptophyta; Magnoliopsida; Malpighiales; Euphorbiaceae
Source: RNAcentral
CUAUAUAGUCCAGUCCGGCCAUGAUGCUCAUACACCAGGUAUUGGGAAUUGAGUUGUAAGAGCUUCAACUUUUGUCUGGAGAUCUGACACUCUAUCCUUCAAAGAGAAAUCAGGGGAUGCAACAAAUUUCAAGAAAUCUUGAAGCUUUGAUCCUGACACUGAUUUCUUAGCUUCAAAUGUUAUUUGCACACCCUCAUGAAUAUAAUCAGCAGUCGCUACAAAUUCUUUCUCUGUGAAUCCUCUGGUAGUCAUAGCAGGUGAUCC